RNAcentral lists this transfer RNA (76 nucleotides) under Deltaproteobacteria bacterium. Its description in RNAcentral is "tRNA-Val". It matches the Rfam family "tRNA". From Rfam's summary of the family: Transfer RNA (tRNA) molecules are approximately 80 nucleotides in length. Their secondary structure includes four short double-helical elements and three loops (D, anti-codon, and T loops). RNAcentral also lists the same sequence under 1 other name. The record is from RNAcentral. Lineage: Bacteria; Pseudomonadati; Myxococcota; Myxococcia.
GGGCGAUUAACUCAGUGGUAAGAGUGCCAUCUUCACACGGUGGAAGUCACAGGUUCGAAUCCCGUAUCGCCCACCA